UACGUAGGGACCAAGCGUUGUCCGGAAUCAUUGGGCGUAAAGGGCGCGUAGGCGGCUUGGCAAGUGGAUGGUGAAAUCCCUCGGCUUAACCGAGGAACUGCCGUCCAAACUGCUUUGCUUGAGACCGGGAGAGGUGAGUGGAAUUCCCAGUGUAGCGGUGAAAUGCGUAGAUAUUGGGAGGAACACCAGUGGCGAAGGCGGCUCACUGGACCGGUACUGACGCUGAUGCGCGAAAGCGUGGGGAGCAAACGGG
RNAcentral lists this ribosomal RNA (253 nucleotides) under uncultured bacterium. Its description in RNAcentral is "partial 16S ribosomal RNA". It matches the Rfam family "Bacterial small subunit ribosomal RNA", at positions 524 to 776 of the family's 1533-position model. The record is from RNAcentral.